This 484-nucleotide ribosomal RNA is filed under the name uncultured bacterium. RNAcentral describes it as "partial 16S ribosomal RNA". It matches the Rfam family "Bacterial small subunit ribosomal RNA", at positions 29 to 507 of the family's 1533-position model. The record is from RNAcentral.
AUUGAACGCUGGCGGCAUGCUUUACACAUGCAAGUCGAACGGCAGCGCGGGCUUCGGCCUGGCGGCGAGUGGCGAACGGGUGAGUAAUACAUCGGAACGUGCCCAGUAGUGGGGGAUAGCUCGGCGAAAGCCGGAUUAAUACCGCAUACGACCUGAGGGUGAAAGCGGGGGAUCUUCGGACCUCGCGCUAUUGGAGGGGCCGAUGGCUGGUUUGCUAGUUGGUGGGGUAAAGGCCUACCAAGGCGACGAUCUGUAGCUGGUCUGAGAGGACGACCAGCCACCCUGGGACUGAGACACGGCCCAGACUCCUACGGGAGGCAGCAGUGGGGAAUUUUGGACAAUGGGCGAAAGCCUGAUCCAGCAAUGCCGCGUGUGUGAUGAAGGCCUUCGGGUUGUAAAGCACUUUUGGCGGGAACGAAAAGGACUGUGCCAAUACCACGGUUCGAUGACGGUACCCGCAGAAUAAGCACCGGCUAACUACGUG